CUCGUAGGCGGUUUGUCGCGUCUGCUGUGAAAACUCGGAGCUUAACUCCGGGCUUGCAGUGGGUACGGGCAGACUAGAGUGCGGUAGGGGAGACUGGAAUUCCUGGUGUAGCGGUGAAAUGCGCAGAUAUCAGGAGGAACACCGGUGGCGAAGGCGGGUCUCUGGGCCGUAACUGACGCUGAGGAGCGAAAGCGUGGGGAGCGAACA
This 207-nucleotide ribosomal RNA is filed under the name uncultured bacterium. RNAcentral's name for it is "partial 16S ribosomal RNA". It matches the Rfam family "Bacterial small subunit ribosomal RNA", at positions 568 to 774 of the family's 1533-position model. The record is from RNAcentral.